Molecule: ribosomal RNA, 3235 nt
Filed under: Triticum aestivum (bread wheat)
Lineage: Eukaryota; Viridiplantae; Streptophyta; Magnoliopsida; Poales; Poaceae
Description: partial small subunit ribosomal RNA
Source: RNAcentral
GCGCGAUCGGUGCAGUAAUGUCUGCAUGACAAGCAACGCUGGUUAGGCCUCUAUAGAAACCCGACCGGUUAGCGCACACCCCGUAGCCUCCAGGGACCAACCGCACUUGCGCACGCGCUGGCUGGCUCGGCGGCAAGGGGAAGGGAGCUAAGGAGAGGGAGGGGAGCAGAAGGCGGCAGCGACGGUGGCCGCUGGAGGGGUGUCGUCGACGGCGGUGGCCGCUGGAGGGGGUGCCGACUACGAGGGUGGGGAAGAUAGGAAGGAAAUGGAAGGGAGUGGUAGCUGCUGGAGGAGGGGAGGGGGGACGGGGUUUAACUCGUCGUCCGGGCCUAGGUUGCGUCCGAGUCUAGGCCGUGCGAGUAUUGGGACCAAGCAGGACUCCUGUGAUACCUGUUCUACGAGACCCGGAUCACUACGUCGGUACCUGUUCCUGAGUACACCAGCAGCUAAUGUUCCCACAGAGUCCCCCAAUUUCUUCAACACAAGAAUGUCUAAACUCGACUUUCAUUAAGUUUUAUCCUCCGGCCUUCCCUAGAAUAUGAUGCUACUCGCAAAAGAAGUUAGUAUGGUUUUACGUACUUUUUAUAUCGACACCAACAACCGGACUAAAUUUACUCUUAAAUUUAUAAAGAACGAACCAAUAAGGUCAAUACAAUGUUAUAAACUAAAAGCAUCGAGUCCUACAGCUAAGUGUAACGGAAUUAAGGACAUACGACCAAAGAAAGAUGGGGAACAGUCCCUCUAGGUCCUUCCUCCACUGGCAGAGGGUGCCGCAGCGUAGCAGUACUCCUCCUGCUUUCACUCGUACCCGACAUCCGACCACUGUAUGUAUGACCAAUUCCCACCUAUAUACACUAAACACACGGCACAGCCAAGGUCCAUCGUGUUACAAAGUCUGAGUCUCGUUUCCUUUUUCGACUAGUUAUCCAAAGUCGGUACUACGAGAGUCAACUGUCGCCGCCGCCUGUCGCGACCCGCCGUGCGGGUAGUCACGGGCACACGGGGCUGGCCACGCCUGACGAACACAUCCCGGUGUAGUCGACCAACGAGUUCGGACGCACACCUGACGGGCGAUUCUAACUAAAGGUCGAGUAGAGGUACCCAAGGGACUCCACUCGCGCUACGGCUCCUCUCUACCGCAGCUCCUGCUGUAGACUCCUGUAGUAGUGCGAGUACCGAGGCGGCGGUAGCAGUAGCUCAAAAAACCAAAGUGUCGUUUGUCCACACGCUGCCCGGCCGUUGGUCGCCGCGGUAGAGAUAGGGACUGUGAUCUAUUAUCGCACCGAUUACCGGGCGCGCGCCGCGCGGACAGACACGGGCACGCGAGUCCGACUACGCCUGACGCUGACGCGCAUCCCGGCGGCGUCGACGUACGAGUUCCGCCGCACGCCUGACGGACCAUUCGAGGUAGUUAGGUGAGACUUAGAGGAACAAAACGUCAGAACGAGAUAGAUCCAACCCCGGGGCAUGUUGUGACGAAGUUUAUAUACACGGGAAUUCCGCAUCACAAGUACCCCUAUUUUUUUGAGACAACCCAAAGUUCACCAUGGACUUGCAGAUAUGUAACUUAUUUCAAAGGGAAUUCUAAGGUGUUCUCUCAGAAGAUAAGAGUAAAAUCUUGUCUUAUAUAAACUAUAUAACAAGUUAUGAUUACACCUGUGUACCUGUUACGAAAAAGUGAUAGUUUGAUACCACGUUAGAAAUAAAACAAAGCAGGGUGUACUUACUUUGCCGAGUGAUGAAUAAAGGAAACAAAUAAUCGUGUCCGUACAAUUCGUGGGGUUGGUAGUCUGUAAAUAAAGGUAAUGAUUAUCAUUCUAGGUGUGCUUAUUAUGGACGUGAGUCAAUAAGUCACUUAACGAGACGCUAAUUUAACACGGAGUGGUUAUAAAGAUACUCAUAUGAUAAAUAUGCGAGUAUGUGUCUCAUUAUCGAUAAACAAAAAAUUAAAUAAUGGUGUAAGGACGAUUGCUCAGUUGUUCGUCUAUAAAUCGAGGUAGCGAUUAUCAUUCUUUGCUCAACAGGUUGUUAUACUUCUCCAAGGGUAAGGUCAAAUAGAUUACCAACACUGAAGGUGACAAUCACGUAAACUAACGAGACGAUUCAGGGAAGAUAAUCUAAAGAACAAAUAAAAAAUGUACCAAAUGGUUGAAAGUCUUCGUGUUUAUGUACUUGAUAAACUAAAGUAACACCGACUCAACCUUUCUAAACAACUCUGACUUCCUCUACUAAAGGUGAACGGACACCCGUCCGUAUCCCUUGACCCAAAGUGGAAAGGAAAGCAUAAUGUGGUUUGGAACUAUAGCAGUCCGUGGUAGCAAUUCACCUUUUUCCCUAAAACGUAGUUACCUUACCAUUUUUAGUUUACUAGCGUCAUGUAUGAACCGACUGUCUUACUAUAUGAUUAUUGUCAUUUAAAUCCUAAGAAAAUCAUAGGUUUUUUGCCACCAAGAAUAGGAAAGAACAGUGAAGUACACAGUAACUAAAUAAGAGGGUAAUAGGUCUCUUUGUGACUGAAACAAUAGGUUCUGGUCACCAAUGCGAGAACCCAGUUAUAAGUCCUAUUAGUGGUAAUUAAUUCGUUGGUGUGGAUGUUAUUACAGUAGGCCACCUUAGUGCACAACGACGAUUAGUCCAGAAGAGGAACGAAAGAAAACGCCUUUGAGACAUAACUGUUGUGACGGAAUGUAAACCGUCGGACAGUAAUCACGGAUACAAUUAGGUACUCGUUAAAAGAUUCUAAUCAGAAAGACAAAAAAAAUACUUUUAGUAACCCCCGUGCACUCUAGAGAACCUCGUAAAAAACAUAGUAAGAAUGACACACUCAUAAAUUAGAAGACCAGACAACGAAAAUUUAUCUACUACCUGUAAAUUCCGUACGACUCUAUUAAAGAGAAACAUAACAAGAUCGGGCACUCACAUAGAUUGCAACAUCAAAUAACGAAGAUUCAAAAACUGACCAACAAAACUGCUACAGAAGCUGGAUACACAGGUCCAAUUUAAAGUCGGGGAGUGUUGCGUAAAUCAUAAACGUCCUAGAUUCUGCUGUGUAUAGUGUGAAGACGGGCAGUAGGAUUAAAACCACGAAAAAAUCUCCACACCCUAACCCGUCACCACUCGAACCGAGAGUAUAGUCCAAAGAGCAGAUGUAAUUAGAACUACAUACGUUCUUAAAGAAUAGAAUCACUAUAGUUAGAUAAUCAUACAGGUACGUCAAUAUCGAGACAAUGAAAGG